CAGCCAGUCUCAGGGGCGGCCUCUGAGGGCCUGGGGAGGGGGAGCCUCUGGACUAGGGCGGGGCUGGAGGCGAGCUCUCCGCUCCCAGCACUGAGGGAGAGGAUCCUGAGCUCUGACCAACUCUCAGGAGAUGGAGAUUCAAUCACUCCAUCAAAGAAUAUGAGCAUUUCCGAGGCUCUUGUAAGGCAAGCCAAGAGCCAAAUCAUGAAUGAGCUCCCAUUCAAAACUGCCACAAAAGAAUAAAA
This is a long non-coding RNA of Piliocolobus tephrosceles (Ugandan red Colobus), 245 nucleotides long. RefSeq lists it as uncharacterized. The transcript is spliced from 3 exons. The record is from RefSeq and is a predicted model, not a curated record. NCBI's taxonomy places the organism in Eukaryota, Metazoa, Chordata, Mammalia, Primates, Cercopithecidae.